UCCCAGGUGGCUCAGAGGUUAAAGCAUCUGCCUCCAAUGCAGGAGACCCAGGUUCGAUCCCUGGGUUGGGAA
RNAcentral lists this transfer RNA (72 nucleotides) under Bos taurus (domestic cattle). RNAcentral's name for it is "tRNA-Trp (CCA) (tRNA-Trp-CCA-14-1)". It matches the Rfam family "tRNA". Rfam says of the family: Transfer RNA (tRNA) molecules are approximately 80 nucleotides in length. Their secondary structure includes four short double-helical elements and three loops (D, anti-codon, and T loops). The record is from Rfam by way of RNAcentral. RNAcentral also lists the same sequence under 4 other names. Lineage: Eukaryota; Metazoa; Chordata; Mammalia; Artiodactyla; Bovidae.